UUCUGAGGCGUUCCACUGCUGGUU
This 24-nucleotide non-coding RNA is filed under the name Mus musculus (house mouse). Lineage: Eukaryota; Metazoa; Chordata; Mammalia; Rodentia; Muridae. The record is from RNAcentral.